This 333-nucleotide ribosomal RNA is filed under the name Brachistosternus ninapo. RNAcentral describes it as "partial 12S small subunit ribosomal RNA". The record is from RNAcentral. Lineage: Eukaryota; Metazoa; Arthropoda; Arachnida; Scorpiones; Bothriuridae.
UAAAAAUUUAUUUAUCUUAGGUAGUAACAGAUUUCUUGAAACCUAAAGAAUUUGGCGGUAUUUUAAAUAAUUAGAGGAACCUGUUAAAUAAAUGACAAUCCACAACAUAUCUUACCUAAAUUAAGUUUGUAUACCGUUGUUUUUAGAUUAUGUUUAAAAAUUAUGAUCAAAAUUAAUUAAUUUUUGUAAAUCAAAUCAAGGUGCAGCAUAUUUAGGCCUUAAUGGGUUACAAUAUAUUUAUAUAUACGAAUUGGUUAUGAAAAUGUUUUUGAAGGUGGAUUUAAAAGUAAUUUAAAAUUAAAAUGUUUAGAUGAAUAAAAAUUUAAAAUAUGU